Molecule: ribosomal RNA, 329 nt
Filed under: uncultured eukaryote
Lineage: Eukaryota
Description: partial 18S ribosomal RNA
Rfam family: Eukaryotic small subunit ribosomal RNA
Source: RNAcentral
CCCUUAGAUGUUCUGGGCUGCACGCGCGCUACACUGAUACUUUCAGCGAGUCCACCACCUUGCCUGGGAAGGUGGGGUAACCUCUGGAAAGUGCAUCGUGAUGGGGAUCGAUUAUUGUAAUUAUUAAUCUUCAACGAGGAAUUCCUAGUAAGCAUGUGUCAUCAGCCCGUGCUGAUUACGUCCCUGCCCUUUGUACACACCGCCCGUCGCUCCUACCGAUUGAAUGGUCCGGUGAAGCGUUCGGACCGUGGCCUUUGGACGGUUCGCCGUCUGUUGGCUGCGGGAAGUUCGUUAAACCUUAUCAUUUAGAGGAAGGAGAAGUCGUAACA